AACGUAGGAGACGAACGUUAUCCGGAGUUACUGGGCGUAAAGGGCGUGUAGGCGGUUUGUUAAGUCUGGCGUGAAAGCUCUCGGCUAAACCGGGAGAGGUCGUUGGAUACUGGCGAACUAGAGGAUGGUAGAGGCGUGUGGAAUUCCGGGUGUAGUGGUGAAAUGCGUAGAGAUCCGGAGGAACACCAGUGGCGAAAGCGACACGCUGGGCCAUACCUGACGCUAAAGCGCGACAGCAUGGGGAGCAAACGGG
This 253-nucleotide ribosomal RNA is filed under the name uncultured bacterium. RNAcentral's name for it is "partial 16S ribosomal RNA". It matches the Rfam family "Bacterial small subunit ribosomal RNA", at positions 524 to 776 of the family's 1533-position model. The record is from RNAcentral.